UACGAAGGGGGCUAGCGUUGUUCGGAAUUACUGGGCGUAAAGCGCACGUAGGCGGAUAUUUAAGUCAGGGGUGAAAUCCCAGAGCUCAACUCUGGAACUGCCUUUGAUACUGGGUAUCUUGAGUAUGGAAGAGGUAAGUGGAAUUGCGAGUGUAGAGGUGAAAUUCGUAGAUAUUCGCAGGAACACCAGUGGCGAAGGCGGCUUAC
Molecule: ribosomal RNA, 206 nt
Filed under: uncultured bacterium
Lineage: Bacteria
Description: partial 16S ribosomal RNA
Rfam family: Bacterial small subunit ribosomal RNA
Source: RNAcentral